GUCUGCGGCCGCGCCGCCCUGAACGCGCCUGGGCCCGGCCGAUCGCGGAAGCUAAGCAGGGUCCGGCCUGCUCAGUCCAUGGAUGGGAGACCGCCUAGGAAGACCGGGUGCCGUAGGCG
RNAcentral lists this ribosomal RNA (119 nucleotides) under Pteropus alecto (black flying fox). The record is from RNAcentral. Lineage: Eukaryota; Metazoa; Chordata; Mammalia; Chiroptera; Pteropodidae.